This 1649-nucleotide non-coding RNA is filed under the name Pongo abelii (Sumatran orangutan). Lineage: Eukaryota; Metazoa; Chordata; Mammalia; Primates; Hominidae. The record is from RNAcentral.
AGGCACAGAAGCUGCAGAGCAACACGAAGGAUCCUGUGGGCUUGAACAAAAAAGCAGUUACUCCACAGAAGACCAGAGGGGUCCUCCCAGCAUUCUGGCUCUACGAGGAAACUGAGACCCAGAGAUGGAGCUGGGAUUCAAAACAAUGUCCAGUGUGACUCCAGUGCCUUUCCUAACUCCUACCCCUUAAAGCCUCUGAGGAAUGCUGAAAAGAGCACAGGACAUAGAAUCCAGACUAAAAUGAUGAAAGUCAUCAACCUUAAAAGAAGCAAAAAAGAAGAGAAUUAGCUCCUCUGUGUAAUUUUUUAAAAUAUAGCAUCAAACCAUCUUCCCGUCAGCAACAGGCACUGCAGUAUUCAAGAUCAUCACAUGAGGGCAGAGGGCAUAAAAAAGGAUGGUGUGUUGAGACCAGAAGCAGCAGCAGUCCUCGACACCAAUUACAACCUUCCUUGCACAGUGCACACCCUCUGAUAUACUGAACCCAACGCCUAUCCUCCAGCCCCCUAAGUACUAGAGAGGGAGCCUCGCAACAUUCCAAUUUAAUCCUUCAGAAAAUUCAUUACUCUUCAAAGUUGUCUGUGGUUUUGUGACAAAGAUAUGACUAGGUGCAAAAUGGCUUGCAACUAAUUAACAAACACAGAAGCAUCCAACAAACAUAUACGUGUACAAUCUGAGGAUUUAGGGAUGAAAUCAGUUAUCCAGGUUAGACAUCAACAAAAGAGCAGUAAUUAUAAAGUUUCAUGAAGAAAGUGGCUGUUGAGGUGUGGAUUAUGAGAGUAAGACUGACAAAUAACAAGAAAUGAUUUUGUUAUAAUCAAGAAGUGAAACUAAAUAAAUGUUCUUUAAAUUGAUGGAUAAAUAAGAAUUUAUUUACAACAGUAAAUAAAUCCAAUACUUGUUAUAAAUAAGAUAAAGUUAGCUAUAAAUUCACAUUUUCAUGUGAGCGUUUUGAAGUAUGUAGACAAAGAAAAAACACACACCUCAAGUAUACUUCUCAAUGAUUUCUGAUAAAGAACACACCUUUGUAACCAGCACAUGCUGUGAAACCAGAAACAAAACAUUACCAGAUUCCUAAAGAAGCCUUCUUUGUGCCCCUUUUUAGUCACUACCCUCCCCCAUUCAAGGUAACUUCUGUCUUGACUUCUAACACCAUACUUUCAGUUUUGCCUAUGUUAACUUGAUAUAAAUAGAAUGAUACUGUAUAUUUUGUGUGUGUUUGGCUUCUUCUGCUCUAACUUUUGUUGGUAAGGUUCAUACCGAUUGUUAAAUACAGCCAUAGUUCAUUUAUUUCUAUUACUAUGUAGUAUACUUGGAUUCAGGAAUACACCAUAACUUAAUCAUCCAUUCUAUUGUUGACUGGCAUUUAGGUUAUAAGCACAUGCACAGAUGUAGAACAACCACUUUUAAAAAAUGGCUUGGCAAUUUUCUAAACAUACACAAAUUCUAUGAACCAGCAAUUCUAUCCCGUGUAUGUGUACAUAUACACACAUGUUAAAUAUAUACACAGAAACAUGCUGUGAAAGUGCUUUGCAAAUGGCAAAAUGUAAAAUGUAAGGAAUGUUACCAAAGAGCUGAAACGCACUGUGGCUUUCUUGCAACACAGAUUCUUGGACAUAUCAGAUAAUAAAUGUAUUUUGUACUGAAAAUAA